Molecule: RNA transcript, 432 nt
Organism: Phaethon lepturus (White-tailed tropicbird)
Lineage: Eukaryota; Metazoa; Chordata; Aves; Phaethontiformes; Phaethontidae
Gene name: phosphotriesterase-related protein pseudogene
Exons: 1
Source: RefSeq, a predicted model, not a curated record
AUGCCUUCCUUGGGAGGGAAAGCACAGACUGUCUUGGGCCCUGUGGAUCCGAACUGCCUUGGCUAUACGUUGACUCAUGAACACUUGACUAUGAACUACAGCAGCUGUUUUUGUCCACCUUCUCCAGGCCAACAGCCUCUGUCUGAUGGGCCCAUUGAGAUGAAGAACUUGUUUUGGAUUAAGCAAAAUCCCUACAGCCACAAAGAAAACCUUCUUUUGUAUCAGGAAACAGAUGCUGUGAAGGAGGAGCUGCUGCAUUUUAAAGCAGCAGGUGGUGGGACGAUCGUGGAAAACACAACCACAGGAAUUGGUCGGGAUAUGAAUACUUUGAAGAAACUUGCUGAAGAAACGGGAGUCCAUAUUAUUGCUGGGGCUGGAUUUUAUGUGGAUUCCACUCAUUCUUCUCAAACACAGGCCAUGACAGUGGAGCAG